Long non-coding RNA from Olea europaea var. sylvestris, 742 nucleotides. RefSeq lists it as uncharacterized. Lineage: Eukaryota; Viridiplantae; Streptophyta; Magnoliopsida; Lamiales; Oleaceae. The record is from RefSeq and is a predicted model, not a curated record. The transcript is spliced from 3 exons.
GGCUUAUCGCUGGGAAGGUCUAGUGGUUGAUAAAUCUGAAAUCUGAAACUAGAGGAUUCGAAAAUGGAACAGGGCAAAAGAAUUUCUUGAAAAACUUGUAACAAUCGAAGAAUUCGAUCGCGUAUCACGGCUCAAUUUCGCUUCUCAGAGACGUCACACUGAUUCAAGCUUUUACAAGUAUUUCGUCCUCAGAUGGAUCGAAGUCGACCGAGGCUUACCGGGUUCCGCCACUUUCUUUUUCGAAGUGCCCCAUCACCUCACUGUAAGAGAAAUAAGGAUGGAAACUUAGUUCUGGGCGCUAUUGCCUCUUUGGUCGAUGAAUUAGGAGCUGCAGUGAUCCAUGUUGAGGGACGACCUAUGGAUUUCAAUAGACAUGUCAACAAAUUACCUUUCUAAAAGAUGAACUAGAGAUGACAUCAAGAGUCUUGUGUCAGAAUGGUAAUUAUUCUGGAACAAAUGUUCUUACUCUUACAAGGGACAAAGCAACUGGGGAGGUUGUUGCUGAAGGGAGAUUCAUUGUUUACUGCACCUGCAAGCAAAAUGUAAUAAUGUAUAAAAAUCGUAAAAUCAUAGAAUUAAUUAGAAGGCACUUCUUCUUUUUCUAGUCCUCGUUAAUUGCUUUCUUGUCCUAAUUAUAAUUUUAUGCUUGUUGGAGGAUUAAUAGAAUCAUUAUUGCAAUGAGUCUUUCUGUAAUGUAAAUUUAUUAUAUGAUUAAUAUAGCUUGUUUGGUUAUCGUUUCUAA